AGUGAACGCUGGCGGCGUGCUUAACACAUGCAAGUCGAACGAGAACGGGAUAUAGCUUGCUAUAUUUGUCAGCUAAGUGGCGCACGGGUGAGUAAUGUAUAGAUAACCUGCCCUCUAGAAAGGAAUAACAGUUGGAAACGACUGCUAAUGCCCUAUAUGCCUUUAAUACAUAAGUAUGCAAGGGAAACGCUUUAGUGCUAGAGGAUGGGUCUGUAUGGUAUCAGCUUGUUGGUGAGGUAAUGGCUCACCAAGGCUAUGACGCCUAACUGGUUUGAGAGGGUGAUCAGUCACACUGGACCUGAGACACGGUCCAGACUCCUACGGAAGGCAGCAGUGGGGAAUAUUGCACAAUGGACGAAAGUCUGAUGCAGCAACGCCGCGUGGAGGAUGACACAUUUCGGUGCGCAAACUCCUUUUAUAUAGGAAGAUAAUGACGGUACUAUAUGAAUAAGCACCGGCUAACUCCGUGCCAGCAGCCGCCGUAA
RNAcentral lists this ribosomal RNA (485 nucleotides) under uncultured bacterium. RNAcentral describes it as "partial 16S ribosomal RNA". It matches the Rfam family "Bacterial small subunit ribosomal RNA", at positions 29 to 523 of the family's 1533-position model. The record is from RNAcentral.